RNAcentral lists this ribosomal RNA (682 nucleotides) under Lentilactobacillus hilgardii. RNAcentral describes it as "bacterial SSU rRNA". It matches the Rfam family "Bacterial small subunit ribosomal RNA", at positions 28 to 667 of the family's 1533-position model. Lineage: Bacteria; Bacillati; Bacillota; Bacilli; Lactobacillales; Lactobacillaceae. The record is from RNAcentral.
GACGAACGCUGGCGGCGUGCCUAAUACAUGCAAGUCGAACGCGUCUUGGUCAAUGAAGUUGAGUGCUUGCAUUUAACUGAUUUGACAUUAAGACGAGUGGCGAACUGGUGAGUAACACGUGGGUAACUUGCCCCGAAGCGGGGGAUAACAUUUGGAAACAGGUGCUAAUACCGCAUAACAACAAAAACCACAUGGUUUUUGUUUAAAAGAUGGUUUCGGCUAUCACUUUGGGAUGGACCCGCGGCGUAUUAGCUAGUUGGUGAGGUAAUGGCUCACCAAGGCAAUGAUACGUAGCCGACCUGAGAGGGUAAUCGGCCACAUUGGGACUGAGACACGGCCCAAACUCCUACGGGAGGCAGCAGUAGGGAAUCUUCCACAAUGGACGAAAGUCUGAUGGAGCAACGCCGCGUGAGUGAUGAAGGGUUUCGGCUCGUAAAACUCUGUUGUUGGAGAAGAACGGGUGUCAGAGUAACUGUUGACAUCGUGACGGUAUCCAACCAGAAAGCCACGGCUAACUACGUGCCAGCAGCCGCGGUAAUACGUAGGUGGCAAGCGUUGUCCGGAUUUAUUGGGCGUAAAGCGAGCGCAGGCGGUUUUUUAGGUCUGAUGUGAAAGCCUUCGGCUUAACCGGAGAAGUGCAUCGGAAACCGGGAGACUUGAGUGCAGAAGAGGACAGUGGAAC